Pelobates cultripes (western spadefoot toad) is the source of this 205-nucleotide non-coding RNA. The record is from the annotation of a GenBank genome assembly. NCBI's taxonomy places the organism in Eukaryota, Metazoa, Chordata, Amphibia, Anura, Pelobatidae.
AUUUUUUAAAUAUAGAUUUUAUGCAAUAAUGAAACGAGACAGCUGUGCCUAUUUACUAAUCUAAUGAUUUUAUGUCAUUGUUUAUAGCACACUGAAAAUUGGUGCACAUUGAAUCCUAAGUGAUAAUACUUUGAAAGGAAAUAUCACAUAGAGGUUUUCAAAUGUAGCAGAAAAUUUGAAAGUCCCUGGUCAAUUACAAUUAUUC